Molecule: long non-coding RNA, 1211 nt
Organism: Megalobrama amblycephala (Wuchang bream)
Lineage: Eukaryota; Metazoa; Chordata; Actinopteri; Cypriniformes; Xenocyprididae
Exons: 2
Source: RefSeq, a predicted model, not a curated record
GUUUUUGAACCGAACAAUUACUGCGUGUUGAUCGGACUCGGAUACGUGCAAAGUUUAACAUACUGUGGCUUUUUUUUUUAAAGUUAUUUUCUUGGCAAAAAGAGACAAAUAGUAGCCUAGCUGCGAAUGUUGUCUCUAAAAUGUAAGUUACUCAGUAUCUCGUGUAAUAUUGCUUGACUGUCCCGUCGAAAGGACCUUUUUCAAAAGACCAUCUCUUCAGGGAAAUAAUUUUGUUGUUUACAGUCAUGUGAUUCUGUAUGGGGGGAUCGAUACUGAUACUCGAACUGAUCUUUAAUUAUCCCCCUGGACUUAUUCGGUUUAUUAAUAAUAUAACAUAAGUGGAGGAGGGCCGCCACAACGAAUGAGUGGGACCCAGAGGAGUAUUUAGGCAGCUGCUGAGGCCUCCGUCCCAGCCCUGGUAUCAUCCCCCCAUCAGGCACUCCUUGAAGUGGUUUUAUAAGACAUGACGAGGGAGCCCGGGCCGAAAGUGAUCAGCGGGCGACGCACAUCUGAAACCCAUUUCCCGCAAUUAAAGGGGAGAGACUAUCAGCUCCAAACAUCGCCUGUUUCCACGGUAUCCGUUCAAACAUUCGCCUCGCGCACACAUUCCCAUAAACAGUGACAGAACAUUUCCAAAUAUAUUUGUUUAGAGAAAAAACACAGUGACCAUUCCAGCUGGGCCUGAGGGGGGGGGCUUCUAUGGAUCAAUAAAGGUCUGGUUUUUGACAGCGCUUUGCAUGUUUGAGAGCAGUCCCAGCAUCCACACCUGGGAUGGGACCCUUCUCAAUGUGCAACGGCGUGAGUGUGUGUCCACUUUAAGAAGUGCUUCCCCCGUCGAUCCUUUCACUGGUCGUUUUCUCUCUAUUUGGGAGCUCAUCAGACUUCAAACACAAUAAAACAAAUACCAGACAUGCAGCUAGUGGUAUGGCAGACCUGAUUGCAAUCAAGCAGAAACUGCAAUCAAGCCAAUUUAACUUGAAAAUGCAUUGUUAUAAUUCCAACACGCAAAGAGAUAGUAAACAGCUUUGACUUAGCAUUGUCUGGUUCACUGCUCCUCAUGCUGAAGUCUAAAAAUGCUUUGGCUGAGAGCAUAACUUCUGAUGAUGGCUUUGUGAGAUAAAGAAUUUGUUGGUUUGCUGAAGAAGCACUGCAAGAGACUCUUGUACUGUUUCUUUAGUGUGUUUUGGUUCAUAUUAAGGUGUUUAUUUGAA